GGACUCAACUUGAAUUAUCUAGGUUUUUGAGUUCAAGGAUUUAGGAUUUUUGAAAUUUCUAGGUUACUGAAUUUAGAGAUAUAAUUUCUAAAUUUUUUGGAUUUAAUUGGUUUUGGUUUUGAUUUUAGUUUAGCUUUGGAAAAUCAUGGAUCUUGCUGGACUUGUAAGGCGAAAUAGUUUAAGUUUUUUUUUUCCUGGUGUUCAUUCUAUUUUCCUUUUUCCCGUUAAUUCACAACUCAAUCUCUCCCCUUGACUUACACUCAUUGUCCCAGUUCCGUCC
This 280-nucleotide long non-coding RNA is filed under the name Malus domestica (apple). RNAcentral's name for it is "long non-coding RNA (MDOM_LNC008333)". Lineage: Eukaryota; Viridiplantae; Streptophyta; Magnoliopsida; Rosales; Rosaceae. The record is from RNAcentral.